CACAGAUGUCGAAUACUUUUUACCUUUCGAAUUCGAAGUUUUUUCACUAUAUUCUGAAUAAUUUUUCAGAUUGAUUGUGUAAAAUCGAGAUCUUUCACUCACAUCCGCAUAGUUGCAGUGGUUCUUAUUUUACUUUUAUUUAAAUCUACGAAUGGAAACCCUAAUUGCACCUUACUAGCAUAGUUGCAGUGGUUCUUAUUACUAGCAUCAUCAGAUCAUUAAAACGAAUCGAUCUGCCUCUUUCAUCUCCCUUUGGAUCCAUCUCCUCUACUAAGCCAGGAUAAAAUUCUCAAAAAUGGAGACUCAUCCAUCAGAGGAAGAAACAGAGGGGAAAAUCAUCUUUCAGGCUGUAAAUUUUCAACCAAAUCUCUCACCAUUUAUUUCGGUGUUAAAUUAUUGCUAAAAAAUCAUUGAUACCCUUCUUCAAAUCGUUCAUACCCUUUUUCAGUAUCUCCAUGUUUCACCAAAUUCGAACUUUUCUCUCAAUUUGAAAAUCAGUGAUGCUACCUCACAGUCCCAAACUGAAAUUCUAAUCCUAUUUUUUGUUUAAUUUUAAUUGAUUUUAAUUUUUGUUUUAGGGGGUUAUAAUGCAUUGUUGUUUUGAUUCUGGAAUAAACAGAUGAUUAAGUUCAAAUCCUAACCUAAUUAUUUGGUGCUUAUUGGGUGUUAUUUUGCUUCAAUCUAAUAAGAGUCUGGGUAAAAAAGUCAUCACAUUCUUUUAAUUUUAGUUUUUCUAACUCAUCAAUUUCAUGUAAAUUGAACUUCUUAGUUUAGAUGGGUAUAAGUAGAUGAUGAUGUGUGAUUGUUGUCCUUUAUCUUGAUCAGGGUUACCACUUUUUGUUGAUUUUGCAGGUGGAUAAAAGGGUAAGAGUAGGAUUCAUCAAAAUAAAAUAAUUGAUUUGGAUUAAUGUUUGGUAGAGAGUGGUUGUUUGCGGCAGUGACCUGGAUGCACAAUGGCUUCAUGAUAAUGGAGUUUGGUUUGUAGCGAGAUUAGUGUUGUUUGAACCAAUCUUUAUGCAUCAAAUGAAUCUUAUGAGGCAUGUAAAUUGAAACUCGGAGAUUUUAAAGGAGCAUCAUUGGACACAGAGUUCGCCAUGCGCGACGGGAAGGAUAAUGUCAAAAUUUUGUUUGUUCAAGGACAGAAACUAGCAACAACUAGGAUUUGAAUAAACUAUUGGAAUAAAAUAUUGCAGAAAUACGUGUUCAAAUGGCGAGAUUCAAAACACCCGCACACAAUGAUGAAACUACUCGAGUUACAGAUAGCCGGUUAUGGAAUUAUUCCUUGAUAUGGAUUAAUUCCAUAACUGGAAUUAAUUUCAGUUCAUUGAUAUGGUUUUCUACUGUAGUAGGUUUUUUCCGGGUAAAGUCAAGUCCGAUAGAUUCUCGUCCAGGAUUAUAUCUUGGGGUUUUCCAUACAUGUUUCUAUUCAGUGUCGUCUAAUAUCUGCGUGAAUUGUUCUCCUAUCAGGGAUCUUCCUGCAUAUUUUCCCAUGAUGCAACUCCCUUGAAGAAAUCCAAGGUACAAUUAUUUCAGGCUUCUACGAAAUACCUUUUAAGCAAUCACUGUCGUGAUUAUAGUUUUUUAGUUCCUUUUUUCAAUUAAAUUUAUAGAGAGUAUCAAAAGGUCCAUCAUUUCCUUUUUUUUGAUGGUAUUAAUUUAAAUUUCUAUUUUGAACUCUCUUUAUGUUAUUGAUUGAAUUAGUAUAAUAUCUGGAGGAGCCUUGAAAGGGUAUUCAUCCGCAUAGUUAACUCAGGAAAGCUAUCUUUCAUUACACUAAAAAAUCAUCUAUCGUGUUUUGAUAUCCGACCCUAAUUAUCCCCUUUUGUCUCGGUGUUAAUUUGACACUAAAAAAUCCCAUAUUUAUUAAAAGAAAUUAGGUUGAGUUUUAAUUCAUCUCUUCAAAGAAAAGAGAUGAUGAGUAAAGAUGGAUGUAUCCUUUUACUCUUCCAGAAGAAAGAAAUCCUAAGUUCUUUCUUCCAUGUUAUUCUUUUUGCUCUUUGUGCUCUAGGUUUCUGGCCGUUAAAAAUUUGUUACGGAAGGAAUUUGAAACCUAGGUUUUAAAUGUCAAUAUUAUCAAGAAUACGAUGAGGUGGGGGAGUGAUGGAGAUUUGCCGAUGAGGUAUUUUGAUUUCUGCUUCCAUAUUCUUUCUAAAUUUGUGGGAUUUUAAAUCUUGAAUUUUAAUUAUGGAUUUUGAAUAAUUAUUAAUAUGAAAUAUGAAUUGGGGUUUUGUUCAUGUUACUGAUGGUACAACUCUGGGGGCUUUGUGUUACCAAACAUUGAUUGUCCCUCACAUCACUUGAGAAUGAAUCUAUGAAUGUUGUUGAAAGUUGAACCUAACGUUACAGGUCCAUCUUAUAUCUUCUUUUUUGUUGUUGAUAGUUAAGUCCAUAUUAUACCUGCAUAUUUGUAUUCAGCAGCGAUGAUUCACUUGAAUAAACCUAUAUGAAAUUAUUGAAAAUCCAAUAAAUUUAAGUGAAACAUUAUUGAAUUUGCUUACCUCUAUAAUGACAUCCCCUAUGAGUAUUUAUCUUACCACCAGCUAAUGAAUCUUGAUCAUGUGUAUAUUGUAUAAUCUCUAAUAAUCUCUAAAUUGUGUGUGUAUAUUUUUGAACCCGGGUAGUGACUGUAGUGAGGUGUGAAGAAGUUUACGUGCUUAUUUUUCUAAAAUUUAAAUAUUUAUUCAUAACUGCACGCGAAGUACCCACACGACCCUUAUUUUGUGGUGAAGCAAUUCUGGAGUUAAUGAAUAUCAAAGAAGUUACUUUUUUUUAAAGCUCAGCACUCCUAAUUGGGUCUUUAAUACCUUGCUGUCUUGCCACAACUUGCACAUCUCCUUGAUACUCUAUACUUUCUACCCUCCACAACCAAGAAGUAUUUUCGCCAGGAAGAUGAGGCGGUUUUCACUGCGAAUGACACAGAUAUAGGUUCAGUAUGGCUUUAAAUAUCUUGAAAAUUAAUCAUCUAUAUAUGGCUUGCAACUACCAGUCUAGGGUAAGGUGUUAGUUUUCUCUUAUUAUCACUGAUUUUCAUUUUACUUUAAGUUUGCAUGUUCUUAUUAAAGUAUUAACAUGGAAGUCUCCCUACUACAGUUGUAAGACUUUACUUUCAUUUCAUACCUCGGAGAGUGAUAUUAUUUGGGUCAUUUAAACAGAUAAUUUAUCUGCCUCCGAUGAAGUUUGUUGCAUCUAUUUUACUGUCAUUGUAGUUGCAGGAAAUCCUACAACACACCCCUUGUAUUAUCAUGACUAUGAUUUCUAGAUCUAAACUUA
Papaver somniferum (opium poppy) is the source of this 3270-nucleotide long non-coding RNA. RefSeq lists it as uncharacterized. The transcript is spliced from 6 exons. NCBI's taxonomy places the organism in Eukaryota, Viridiplantae, Streptophyta, Magnoliopsida, Ranunculales, Papaveraceae. The record is from RefSeq and is a predicted model, not a curated record.